CCUCCGGGGAGGCACAGGCGUCUCCCUCCCGUAGACCCCGCUUGUCCGCCCGGCUCCCCGACCGGCCUCCGGUAGCUCGAUCUGGGCCAGGGCCCGGGGGUCCCGCGGGGCCGCGGGAGGCCUGUUUACUAAAGAACCACCGCCCCCACUCGAGGAGGAGGGAGAGGGGCCCCUGCCCUGCGGUGCGACCCGGACGGCGCAGCACGUCCCUGCUGGGAAAGUUCUGUGCCUUUCCUAACUCUGAAGGCAGCAUCAGGGACAGGGCCCCAUCGGCAAGGGAGAGACCCAGGAAAGGAGGUGAAAGCUUGAAAUGCUAUAGGAAACAUUCUUCACUGUGAGCUUCCUGGAGAGGCUGAGGUUGAAAGUUUCCAGAGGAACUAACAUCCUAUUGAAAGGAAACCCUGAAAGUGGAGGAAAGCCCUAAACUUCAUCGGAGAAUGAAAAGUGUGAAAAGAAAAGAGACUCAAACAUGGAAGCAGAUUAUGUCAGUGUAGCUCCAGAUGCAUCAUAGAAACACUGUGCAAAGAUUGCGCAGCAUAAAUAAACCAAAUGCGCUCAAAAUCCACA
This is a long non-coding RNA of Canis lupus familiaris (dog), 567 nucleotides long. RefSeq lists it as uncharacterized. The record is from RefSeq and is a predicted model, not a curated record. Lineage: Eukaryota; Metazoa; Chordata; Mammalia; Carnivora; Canidae. The transcript has 3 exons.